UGGUGGAGUGAUUUGUCUGCUUAAUUGCGAUAACGAACGAGACCUCGACCUACUAACUAGUCAGGCUCAGUCUUCGGAUUGGGUUUCUGGCUUCUUAGAGGGACUGUUGCUGUUUAAGGCAACGGAAGUUCGAGGCAAUAACA
This 143-nucleotide ribosomal RNA is filed under the name uncultured eukaryote. RNAcentral describes it as "partial 18S ribosomal RNA". It matches the Rfam family "Eukaryotic small subunit ribosomal RNA", at positions 1299 to 1458 of the family's 1831-position model. The record is from RNAcentral.